Ameiurus melas (black bullhead) is the source of this 75-nucleotide non-coding RNA. The record is from the annotation of a GenBank genome assembly. Lineage: Eukaryota; Metazoa; Chordata; Actinopteri; Siluriformes; Ictaluridae.
GCCAGUGGUGGCUCAGUGGUUAAAGGCGCUGGGUUACUGAUCAAAAGGUCAGGAGUUCAAACCUCAGCACUGUCU